GGUUACGCUCGAUCAUGGCGAAAUCGCCGCCCUGAAAUGGCCGCCGAUGUCGAUGGGGUUCGAGGCAUCGGCGGAUUUGC
Molecule: transfer RNA, 80 nt
Filed under: Sphingopyxis bauzanensis
Lineage: Bacteria; Pseudomonadati; Pseudomonadota; Alphaproteobacteria; Sphingomonadales; Sphingopyxidaceae
Description: tRNA-Phe
Source: RNAcentral